CAGAGAGAAGCAAUACCGCGAGGUGGAGCAAAACUUCAAAAAUAGGUCUCAGUUCGGACUGUAGGCUGCAACUCGCCUACACGAAGUUGGAAUUGCUAGUAAUCGUGGAUCAGCAUGCCACGGUGAAUACGUUCCCGGGUCUUGUACACACCGCCCGUCACACCAUGGGAGCUGGUAACACCCGAAGUCAGUAGUCUAACCGCAAGGAGGACGCUGCCGAAGGUGGGAUUAGCGACUGGGGUGAAGUCGUAACAAGGUAAC
RNAcentral lists this ribosomal RNA (261 nucleotides) under uncultured bacterium. RNAcentral describes it as "partial 16S ribosomal RNA". It matches the Rfam family "Bacterial small subunit ribosomal RNA", at positions 1240 to 1500 of the family's 1533-position model. The record is from RNAcentral.